GCGUGAGUGAUGAAGGCCUUCGGGUUGUAAAGCUCUUUUGGCGGGGACGAUGAUGACGGUACCCGCAGAAUAAGCCCCGGCAAACUUCGUGCCAGCAGCCGCGGUAAGACGAAGGGGGCAAGCGUUGUUCGGAAUUACUGGGCGUAAAGGGCGCGUAGGCGGCCGCUUUAGUCAGGUGUGAAAGCCCUGGGCUCAACCUGGGAAUUGCACUUGAUACUGGGUGGCUGGAGAGCGGGAGAGGAUGGUGGAAUUCCCAGUGUAGAGGUGAAAUUCGU
RNAcentral lists this ribosomal RNA (275 nucleotides) under uncultured bacterium. RNAcentral describes it as "partial 16S ribosomal RNA". It matches the Rfam family "Bacterial small subunit ribosomal RNA", at positions 399 to 691 of the family's 1533-position model. The record is from RNAcentral.